Molecule: unclassified non-coding RNA, 207 nt
Filed under: uncultured Cortinarius
Lineage: Eukaryota; Fungi; Basidiomycota; Agaricomycetes; Agaricales; Cortinariaceae
Description: sequence contains ITS2
Source: RNAcentral
AUAUAUCAACCUCUUCAGCUUUUGCUUGUCGAGUGUUGGAUUGUGGGGGUGUUUUUGCUGGCCUUUUGAGGUCGGCUCCCCUGAAAUGCAUUAGCAGAACAAAUUUGUUGACUCCGUUCAUUGGUGUGAUAACUAUCUACGCUAUUGACGGGUGAAGGCAGAGUUCAGCUCCCAAUAGUCCAUUGACUUGGACAACUUUUUCAUUUA